Molecule: ribosomal RNA, 257 nt
Filed under: uncultured bacterium
Lineage: Bacteria
Description: partial 16S ribosomal RNA
Rfam family: Bacterial small subunit ribosomal RNA
Source: RNAcentral
UGGCGGACGGGUGAGUAAUGUCUGGGAAACUGCCUGAUGGAGGGGGAGUAACUACUGGAAACGGUAGCUAAUACCGCAUAACGUCGCAAGGCCAAAGAGGGGGACCUUCGGGCCUCUUGCCAUCGGAUGUGCCCAGAUGGGAUUAGCUAGUAGGUGGGGUAAAGGCUCACCUAGGCGACGAUCCCUAGCUGGUCUGAGAGGAUGACCAGCCACACUGGAACUGAGACACGGUCCAGACUCCUACGGGAGGCAGCAUG